This 334-nucleotide long non-coding RNA is filed under the name Lathyrus oleraceus (garden pea). Its description in RNAcentral is "Pisum sativum (pea) long non-coding RNA (PSAT_LNC016018)". The record is from RNAcentral. Lineage: Eukaryota; Viridiplantae; Streptophyta; Magnoliopsida; Fabales; Fabaceae.
CAACCUCUAAACUCACUCUUGUCCAUUCUUGAUUUGUUUCAUAAAACUCUUUGAUGUGUGUGUUCUUGUGCUAGGGAUUCCACCUUCAUUCAAAGUUGAGGAACCAUUGUAAUGUUCAUCCAAAGUGGAAGAGACAAGAUGCAUUGAAGAUCUCUUAAGAGACUUGUGUGAUGAAUGCUUGGGUUUAUGUUUAUGUGAUUGCUUAUUCCAAGGUGUCGCAGCCUGAAAAAUACAGAAGGUGCGAAAAAAAAAACCGGCGAGAAAGAAAUGACAGAAGAGUCGCCACCGUGCGUUAUUUAUCCCAAAGGAGGGAAAGGAAACGCUCGAAGUAAAC